RNAcentral lists this long non-coding RNA (288 nucleotides) under Taeniopygia guttata (zebra finch). RNAcentral's name for it is "lncRNA (ENSTGUG00000026162.1)". Lineage: Eukaryota; Metazoa; Chordata; Aves; Passeriformes; Estrildidae. The record is from RNAcentral.
AUGGCCUGGCACAGGCGAGCCCAGAGCACAAACAGAAUUCCUAACACAGUUUUUAGGAAUGCUGGGGAGAGAAGAAGAGCCUGUGGCCAUACUCACAGUUUAUUGAGUCUGGCGUGGGAGCCUAACCAACUUGCUUGUUGCUGUGUGGGAAGAAAAUCCACUGAUCAGCAAGGUGGUUGUUCCUUCCCUUUAGCUAUAGAAUCUGUUUGGGUUCUAUUUUCUAUAAAUAUGAAACUAGCUCAUGCAGAACAGGACAGAGAGUUUAAAUGGGAAGAAAUAAGAACUUGA